Molecule: non-coding RNA, 303 nt
Filed under: Roseburia sp.
Lineage: Bacteria; Bacillati; Bacillota; Clostridia; Lachnospirales; Lachnospiraceae
Description: T-box sequence
Rfam family: T-box leader
About the family: Uncharged tRNA acts as the effector for transcription antitermination of genes in the T-box leader family. T-boxes are found upstream of many aminoacyl-tRNA synthetase genes and some amino acid biosynthetic genes usually in Gram-positive bacteria.
Source: RNAcentral
AUAAAAUCAGUGAGCAAAAGUAGUACGGUAAAUGAUUUCUUUACAGAGAGCCGGCGUUGGUGGAAGCCGGUAAGAUAGUUUAUUCGGAAUGGAUUUGUCAGAUGCAAAGUGAACAAUAGUAGCGGAUGCCGUUUUCCCACGUUACAGGGACGAGGAUAUCGAAGGAGACUUCUGUAUCCAAGAGGUUAUGUUUGAAUUAGUGGCGGAUAUUUUCUAAUUGAAAAUAUCCGCUUUUUUAGUUACUUGCAGGUAAAAAGCAGACAUAGCGAAGAUGGGUGGCACCACGCGAUAAGCGUCCCUGAC